GGGAUCACUUCGGCAGCCCCGACGCUGAAACGGGAACGAUGCAGAGAAGGUUAGCACGGCCCCUGCACACGCAUGACACGCGAAUUCAUGAAGCGUUCCCCCUUUUU
RNAcentral lists this small nuclear RNA (107 nucleotides) under Myotis brandtii (Brandt's bat). The record is from RNAcentral. Lineage: Eukaryota; Metazoa; Chordata; Mammalia; Chiroptera; Vespertilionidae.